This 276-nucleotide unclassified non-coding RNA is filed under the name uncultured Kofleriaceae bacterium. Its description in RNAcentral is "contains 16S-23S intergenic spacer region". The record is from RNAcentral. Lineage: Bacteria; Pseudomonadati; Myxococcota; Haliangiales; Kofleriaceae.
UCCGAGUUGACCCCGGCAGUCUCCUGUGAGUCCCCAUCACCCCGAAGGGCACCCCUCCAUCUCUGGAAGGUUCCAGUGGAUUUAACCCAGGUAAGGUUCUGCGCGUUGCGUCGAAUUGAACCACAUGCUCCACCGCUUGUGCGGGCCCCCGUCAAUUCCUUUGAGUUUUAGCCUUGCGGCCGUACUCCCCAGGCGGAGUGCUUAACGCGUUAGCUGCGGCGCCGCAGGGGUCAAUACCCGCGACACCUAGCACUCAUCGUUUACGGCGUGGACUAA